This is a non-coding RNA of Gasterosteus aculeatus (three-spined stickleback), 74 nucleotides long. The record is from Rfam. Lineage: Eukaryota; Metazoa; Chordata; Actinopteri; Perciformes; Gasterosteidae.
GGCUCUGUGGCUUAGUUGGUCAAAGUGCCUGUUUCGUAAACAGGAGACUCUGGGUUCAAAUCCCAGCAGGGCCU